UGACGGUACCUGUUGAAUAAGCUCCGGCUAACUACGUGCCAGCAGCCGCGGUAAUACGUAGGGAGCAAGCGUUAUCCGGAUUUACUGGGUGUAAAGGGCGUGUAGGCGGAACUGCAAGUCAGAUGUGAAAACUGAGAGCUCAACUCUCAGCCUGCAUUUGAAACUGUAGUCCUUGAGUGUCGGAGAGGUUAACGGAACUCCUAGUGUAGCGGUGAAAUGCGUAGAUAUUAGGAAGAACACCAGUGGCGAAGGCGGUUAACUGGACGAUAACUGACGCUAAUGCGCGAAAGCGUGGGUAGCAAACAGGAUUAGAUACCCUG
RNAcentral lists this ribosomal RNA (320 nucleotides) under uncultured bacterium. RNAcentral's name for it is "bacterial SSU rRNA". It matches the Rfam family "Bacterial small subunit ribosomal RNA", at positions 470 to 789 of the family's 1533-position model. The record is from RNAcentral.